CGGCAGUGGGGAAGAAGCGACGCAAAACGUCCUUAAAAAGACAACACUCCCGAUGAAGCGAAGAAUGGAACGGGGCUCCAAGUUCCACUUCUCAGGCGUGAGCACCAGGCUGUUGUACCAGAGCAACACGGAGGGAAUACUGCUGUAUCUAAAAUGCUCUGUUUUGCAUUUCCUGCUGUCGGAGCUGUUUGGAGAUGUCCUCCCAUUUUGAAAAGCUUCAAGAUGUUAGUCAAGAAGUUCCAUUGUGGAAGAAGAAAGUCAAGGUAGCUCUGCAGUAAAUAUUGAAGCAAACAUUUAUUUGACGUACUGGGGGAGGAAGCCCUUUAACUAUUGAAUUAUUGCAGUAGUAAUCCAUCCCAGAGGACCUCAAGUGUGGCAGCAGUGCUAUAAAUGCAAUAGAACAUUGACUAUUGAAAGCAUCGACUAUGAAUGUAAAGAAUGAAAAAGAAUGUUUUUUUUCUUGUAAUUCUUUUUAUUAUAAAGUUAAUUUUGUAGAAAAUCCUUUGAUGUACCAAGAAAUAUUUUCUUUACUUUGUAAAUAAUAUGACUAUAACUUUGCUCCAUGGCUUUGGGUUCCAGAAGAGUGAAGCCAGGCCUUGGCCUGCGCUAUUCCGAGCACCCAGUACUCAAAAACCCUCAAGGGGGUUAUUUCCCUGGUGCUGCAAAGUCAAAGUGAAAUGUCUUAUCAAAGAAUGUACAUGCUACUUUAAGAUUCAUUGUCUUGUAGGCGUUAACAGGA
Mobula hypostoma (lesser devil ray) is the source of this 739-nucleotide long non-coding RNA. RefSeq lists it as uncharacterized. The transcript is spliced from 3 exons. The record is from RefSeq and is a predicted model, not a curated record. NCBI's taxonomy places the organism in Eukaryota, Metazoa, Chordata, Chondrichthyes, Myliobatiformes, Myliobatidae.